Molecule: RNA transcript, 1326 nt
Organism: Xenopus tropicalis (tropical clawed frog)
Lineage: Eukaryota; Metazoa; Chordata; Amphibia; Anura; Pipidae
Gene: sdhb
Gene name: succinate dehydrogenase complex subunit B, iron sulfur (Ip)
Exons: 7
Source: RefSeq, marked provisional
ACGCCUCUCUAUGGUUAUAGCCCCGCCGCGCUGCAUUGUGGGAGGCUGGCGGAGUUACUGGUGUCAGAGGAAAUAUGGCGGCGGUCGUGUUCUCCUUGAGACGUAGCGGGCCGGUGUUCCGGUUACCGGGAGUCCUGCAGGUUUGUCGUGGGGCACAGACAGCUGCCGCCGCUGCCCCCGCCUCCCAGGCAGAGGCUCGCAUCAAGAAAUUUGCCAUCUACAGAUGGGACCCCGACAAGCCCGGCGACAAGCCCCGUAUGCAGACUUAUGAGGUCGACUUGAAUGAGUGUGGCUCCAUGGUGCUGGACGCGCUGAUCAAGAUUAAGAAUGAGAUGGACCCCACCCUGACCUUCCGCAGAUCCUGCCGAGAGGGUAUAUGUGGCUCCUGCGCCAUGAACAUUAACGGGGGUAACACCCUGGCCUGCACCGUGAGGAUAGACACCAACCUGAGCAAAGUCUCCAAAAUCUACCCCCUCCCUCACAUGUAUGUUGUAAAGGAUCUUGUGCCUGAUCUGAGUAAUUUCUAUGCGCAGUACAAGUCCAUAGAGCCGUACCUGAAGAAGAAGGACGAGUCGCAGGAGGGCAAGGAGCAGUACCUGCAGUCUAUAGAGGACCGGGAUAAGCUGGACGGGCUAUACGAGUGCAUUCUGUGCGCCUGUUGCAGUACCAGCUGCCCCAGUUACUGGUGGAACGCAGAUAAAUAUCUGGGCCCGGCCGUGCUAAUGCAGGUAAGUGUCUCUCCGGCCCAGAAACCGCCAUCUUGGUAUGUUAUGGGGAAUAAAAUACACCCCAAUCUUUGUAAUGAAGCUGGCUACAUUGAUUCAGUAGUGAGAAACAGCAGUGCAGAGAAUGUAAACACCCAGACUUCCAGUGCAGAUCCAUGUUACAGCUGCCUAGGGCGCUGUAACCCCCCGCUGCAUACAGUAAGGAGAUUGCUGUUGGGUUUCAGGCCUAUCGGUGGAUGAUCGACUCCAGAGACGACUACACGGAGGAGCGGCUGGCCAAACUGCAGGACCCCUUCUCCCUGUACCGCUGCCACACCAUCAUGAACUGCACGCGCACAUGCCCCAAGGGGCUGAACCCGGGCAAAGCCAUCGCCGAGAUAAAGAAGAUGAUGGCGACGUACAAGGAGAGAGCGGCGUCGGUGUAGCACUGCUGCCUGGCGUGGCCCCCGCUGUGUGAUUCUACGCACAUCCGUCCUGGCAGCGGCGCCGCAGCUCCCCCAGCACUUUCUCUACUCCGCGUUGUGCCCGCCGGCUGCCAGCGAGGGAAUGUGCCCCCUGUGAUGUACAUUAAAUUGUUCAUUCUGGUAUUUACCCCUCCAAA